UACGUAGGGACCGAGCGUUGUCCGGAAUCAUUGGGCGUAAAGAGCGUGUAGGCGGCUAUUUAAGUCCUGCGUGAAAUCCUGCGGCUCAACCGCAGACGGUCGUGGGAAACUGGAUGGCUAGAGUGCGGGAGAGGAGAGUGGAAUUCCUGGUGGAGCGGUGAAAUGCGCAGAGAUCAGGAGGAACACCCGUAGCGAAGGCGGCACUCUGGGCCGAUACUGACACUGAGGAGCGAAAGCGUGGGGAGCGAACAGG
This 253-nucleotide ribosomal RNA is filed under the name uncultured bacterium. RNAcentral's name for it is "partial 16S ribosomal RNA". It matches the Rfam family "Bacterial small subunit ribosomal RNA", at positions 524 to 776 of the family's 1533-position model. The record is from RNAcentral.